GCCCCUGUGGUGAAAUUGGUAGACGCGUCCGACUCAAAAUCGGAUGGAGCAAUCCGUGCUGGUUCGAGUCCGGCCAGGGGCA
This 82-nucleotide transfer RNA is filed under the name Sandarakinorhabdus cyanobacteriorum. It matches the Rfam family "tRNA". From Rfam's summary of the family: Transfer RNA (tRNA) molecules are approximately 80 nucleotides in length. Their secondary structure includes four short double-helical elements and three loops (D, anti-codon, and T loops). Lineage: Bacteria; Pseudomonadati; Pseudomonadota; Alphaproteobacteria; Sphingomonadales; Sphingosinicellaceae. The record is from Rfam by way of RNAcentral.